RNAcentral lists this ribosomal RNA (254 nucleotides) under uncultured bacterium. Its description in RNAcentral is "partial 16S ribosomal RNA". It matches the Rfam family "Bacterial small subunit ribosomal RNA", at positions 524 to 776 of the family's 1533-position model. The record is from RNAcentral.
UACAGAGGUCUCAAGCGUUGUUCGGAUUCAUUGGGCGUAAAGGGUGCGUAGGCGGCGCGGUAAGUCGGGUGUGAAAUCUCGGAGCUUAACUCCGAAACUGCAUUCGAUACUGCCGUGCUUGAGGACUGGAGAGGAGACUGGAAUUUACGGUGUAGCGGUGAAAUGCGUAGAUAUCGUAAGGAAGACCAGUGGCGAAGGCGGGUCUCGUGGACAGUUCCUGACGCUGAGGCACGAAGGUCAGGGGAGCAAAUGGG